UUGUCCAGGCAAAUCCGGAUAAUCAAGGCUGAGGUGUGAUGACGAGGCACUACGGUGCUGAAGUAACAAAUGCCCUGCUUCCAGGAAAAGCCUCUAAGCAUCAGGUAACAUCAAAUCGUACCCCAAACCGACACAGGUGGUCAGGUAGAGAAUACCAAGGCGCUUGAGAGAACUCGGGUGAAGGAACUAGGCAAAAUGGUGCCGUAACUUCGGGAGAAGGCACGCUGGUGUGUAGGUGAAG
RNAcentral lists this ribosomal RNA (241 nucleotides) under Klebsiella pneumoniae. RNAcentral describes it as "partial 23S ribosomal RNA". It matches the Rfam family "Bacterial large subunit ribosomal RNA", at positions 1528 to 1767 of the family's 2925-position model. The record is from RNAcentral. Lineage: Bacteria; Pseudomonadati; Pseudomonadota; Gammaproteobacteria; Enterobacterales; Enterobacteriaceae. RNAcentral also lists the same sequence under 1 other name.